AAUAGUAAAAUUUUUUUAAUAUUUUUAAUUUUCGAUUAAAAGAUUUAAUAAUAUUA
RNAcentral lists this transfer RNA (56 nucleotides) under Dirofilaria immitis (dog heartworm nematode). RNAcentral describes it as "transfer RNA-Glu". Lineage: Eukaryota; Metazoa; Nematoda; Chromadorea; Rhabditida; Onchocercidae. The record is from RNAcentral.